Long non-coding RNA from Maniola jurtina (meadow brown), 148 nucleotides. RefSeq lists it as uncharacterized. The record is from RefSeq and is a predicted model, not a curated record. Lineage: Eukaryota; Metazoa; Arthropoda; Insecta; Lepidoptera; Nymphalidae. The transcript has 2 exons.
AUAGUAAUAAUGAUUGAUCCAGGUUUGCCACAAUCGAUCAGCAGUCAGCUCGAUUGCGAUAGAAUGACAGCUACAAUGUCACGAUCGCAAUCACCUCUGAUUGGUUGACGGUCGCUCACUAUUGGCUAUAACGCUUUGUUGCAACAAG